UACGUAGGGUGCGAGCGUUGUCCGGAUUUAUUGGGCGUAAAGGGCUCGUAGGCGGCGUGUCGCGUCGGCUGUGAAAACUCGGGGCUCAACUCCGAGCUUGCAGUCGAUACGGGCAGGCUAGAGUUCGGCAGGGGAGACUGGAAUUCCUGGUGUAGCGGUGAAAUGCGCAGAUAUCAGGAGGAACACCGGUGGCGAAGGCGGGUCUCUGGGCCGAUACUGACACUGAGGAGCGAAAGCGUGGGGAGCGAACAGG
This 253-nucleotide ribosomal RNA is filed under the name uncultured bacterium. RNAcentral describes it as "partial 16S ribosomal RNA". It matches the Rfam family "Bacterial small subunit ribosomal RNA", at positions 524 to 776 of the family's 1533-position model. The record is from RNAcentral.